CAGUCGCCGCGGUAAUACGAAGGGGGCUAGCGUUGUUCGGAAUUACUGGGCGUAAAGCGCACGUAGGCGGACAUUUAAGUCAGGGGUGAAAUCCCGGGGCUCAACCUCGGAACUGCCUUUGAUACUGGGUGUCUUGAGUGUGGAAGAGGUAAGUGGAAUUGCGAGUGUAGAGGUGAAAUUCGUAGAUAUUCGCAGGAACACCAGUGGCGAAGGCGGCUUACUGGUCCACAACUGACGCUGAGGUGCGAAAGCGUGGGGAGCAAACAGGAUUAGAUACCCGGGUAGUCCCUGUCUCUUAUAC
This 301-nucleotide ribosomal RNA is filed under the name uncultured bacterium. RNAcentral describes it as "partial 16S ribosomal RNA". It matches the Rfam family "Bacterial small subunit ribosomal RNA", at positions 509 to 807 of the family's 1533-position model. The record is from RNAcentral.